CCUACGGGAGGCAGCAGUGAGGAAUAUUGGUCAAUGGACGAGAGUCUGAACCAGCCAAGUAGCGUGAAGGAUGACUGCCCUCUGGGUUGUAAACUUCUUUUAUAUGGGAAUAAAAUGUUCCACGUGUGGGAUUUUGUAUGUACCAUCUGAAUAAGGAUCGGCUAACUCCGUGCCAGCAGCCGCGGUAAUACGGAGGAUCCGAGCGUUAUCCGGAUUUAUUGGGUUUAAAGGGAGCGUAGGUGGAUUGUUAAGUCAGUUGUGAAAGUUUGCGGCUCAACCGUAAAAUUGCAGUUGAAACUGGCAGUCUUGAGUACAGUAGAGGUGGGCGGAAUUCGUGGUGUAGCGGUGAAAUGCUUAGAUAUCACGAAGAACGCCGAUUGCGAAGGCAGUUCACUGGACUGCAACUGACACUGAGGCUCGAAAGUGUGGGUAUCAAACAGGAUUAGAUACCCUAGUAGUC
RNAcentral lists this ribosomal RNA (460 nucleotides) under uncultured bacterium. Its description in RNAcentral is "partial 16S ribosomal RNA". It matches the Rfam family "Bacterial small subunit ribosomal RNA", at positions 338 to 795 of the family's 1533-position model. The record is from RNAcentral.